UUUGAUGGCGACCGGCGCACGGGUGAGUAACACGUAUCCAACCUGCCGAUGACUCGGGGAUAGCCUUUCGAAAGAAAGAUUAAUACCCGAUGGCAUAGUUCUUCCGCAUGGUGGAACUAUUAAAGAAUUUCGGUCAUCGAUGGGGAUGCGUUCCAUUAGGUUGUUGGCGGGGUAACGGCCCACCAAGCCUUCGAUGGAUAGGGGUUCUGAGAGGAAGGCCCCCCACAUUGGAACUGAGACACGGUCCAAACUCCUACGGGAGGCAGCAUG
This 270-nucleotide ribosomal RNA is filed under the name uncultured bacterium. Its description in RNAcentral is "partial 16S ribosomal RNA". It matches the Rfam family "Bacterial small subunit ribosomal RNA", at positions 84 to 353 of the family's 1533-position model. The record is from RNAcentral.